UGCGGUAUUCCCUUCGACCGAGCUGACUUCGUUUUUCAAAAUGAACAUCUAAGUUGUUUAAGUGCGAAUGAUCGGUACGAAAACAUGAACGGGUUCUGUUGAAGCUUCCCUGCCAUUAUGCUCCAUCAUUUGAAUAACUAUUCAAUGCAACAAAAAUGUUAUAAAUGAUGCAAUAAAAUAAUUUAUGAUUUAAAUAACUA
This is a long non-coding RNA of Aedes aegypti (yellow fever mosquito), 200 nucleotides long. RefSeq lists it as uncharacterized. The record is from RefSeq and is a predicted model, not a curated record. Lineage: Eukaryota; Metazoa; Arthropoda; Insecta; Diptera; Culicidae. The transcript has 2 exons.